Molecule: ribosomal RNA, 492 nt
Filed under: uncultured bacterium
Lineage: Bacteria
Description: partial 16S ribosomal RNA
Rfam family: Bacterial small subunit ribosomal RNA
Source: RNAcentral
AGUGAACGCUGGCGGUAGGCCUAACACAUGCAAGUCGAACGGCAGCACAGUAAGAGCUUGCUCUUACGGGUGGCGAGUGACGGACGGGUGAGGAAUACAUCGGAAUCUACUUUUUCGUGGGGGAUAACGUAGGGAAACUUACGCUAAUACCGCAUACGACCUACGGGUGAAAGCAGGGGAUCUUCGGACCUUGCGCGAUUGAAUGAGCCGAUGUCGGAUUAGCUAGUUGGCGGGGUAAAGGCCCACCAAGGCGACGAUCCGUAGCUGGUCUGAGAGGAUGAUAAGCCACACUGGAACUGAGACACGGUCCAGACUCCUACGGGAGGCAGCAGUGGGGAAUAUUGGACAAUGGGCGCAAGCCUGAUCCAGCCAUACCGCGUGGGUGAAGAAGGCCUUCGGGUUGUAAAGCCCUUUUGUUGGGAAAGAAAAGCAGCAGGUUAAUACCCCGCUGUUCUGACGGUACCCAAAGAAUAAGCACCGGCUAACUUCGUG